Molecule: long non-coding RNA, 759 nt
Organism: Lutra lutra (Eurasian river otter)
Lineage: Eukaryota; Metazoa; Chordata; Mammalia; Carnivora; Mustelidae
Exons: 3
Source: RefSeq, a predicted model, not a curated record
ACUUCUUCCCGCUGUCCCGGAGCUUUCCCUCCUCUGCCCUCUACUCCCGUCCCCUCCCGCCGCCCCUUGAGGAGACCGGAGACCCUUACUGAGGGUCGUUCCUCUUUGCACUUGUCGAGCAGUCAUUCUCGGUUCCCUCCUCCCCCUUCUUCCCCCAGGCACGCGCGCGCGCACACACACACGCACACACAUGCAUACAGGGCGUACCCAAAGCUAGUUGACUGUACCGCCCAGACAUUGCUUAUUAACCACCUUUCUCCACUCCCUCCUCAGGGCUGUAGAGUCUGUGUCGGGCCCCACGACUUUUUGCCUGGAGCUGCGUGGUAGCCUCCUGGUUGGGUUCUCUCUGCUUCCACGCUUGCCUUUGUCCACACCGUCUCCCAGAUGGCAACCAGAGGGAUUUAUCUAAGAUGUACAGGGUGAUGCUUUACAUCAGGAUUUCCCAAAUUGGCCUGAAGGGAAGAAUCACCUGGAGCCCUUGUUUGAAACAUUCCCAGAACCUCCCCAAACCUACCAAAUAGAAAUUCCCAGGGGUAACCUCACUAAAAUGGAGUCAGGGGGUUUGGCAGGGGCGGCUCUCGACACCGGACACUCUUGGUCUAUGACGGAACCAGCACGAAGAGAAGGAACUUGCAGGUGGGACUUUACUAGCCCAGGGGGAAGAAGGAAUGCUUCCUCCUCCGCAGCGACAGCCCAGCCAAUGAGAAGCCACUACACUUCCAACUCCCAGUUUACUCCAAUGGGCUUCUUGUUUACAAC